This 1571-nucleotide long non-coding RNA is filed under the name Paramuricea clavata. The record is from RNAcentral. Lineage: Eukaryota; Metazoa; Cnidaria; Anthozoa; Malacalcyonacea; Plexauridae.
GUUCUGACAAUGGCUCAGAAUUUACAGGUAAGGCGUUUCAAACACUACUAAGGGAGCGUGGCAUAAAACAUGAAACUUCUGCUCCCUACUCGCCACACCAGAAUGGCACCGCCGAAAGGCACUGGCGCACAUUGUUCGAAAUGGGCAGAUGUCUUCUUCUUCAAUCAGGGUUACCCAAAACUCUCUGGCCCUAUGCAAUUCAAACCGCAGCUCACAUUAGGAAUAGAUGUUUUAAUAAGAGAACAAAGACAACACCCUACUUUAGCCUUACUGGGAAAGUACCUGAUCUUUCUAAAAUGUGGAUCUUUGGAUCUGAAUGUUUUGCUUACGAACAGGAGCAUAAGAAAUUAGACUCAAGAUGCAGCAAGGGGGUAUUUGUGGGAUACGACAAAAAUAGCCCUUCUUACCUAGUCUACUACCCAAAAAAUGGGAAAAUCAUGAAACAUCGACUCAUUAGAUUCAUCAAGAAAUGUAGUGUAGAACAGCACACACAAACUGAUGAGUCCAGCAGGGAUUGUGAUGUACAUGAGAAAUCUGAUCAUGAUACUAGAUCAGACUUAGAUAGUAUGAGCCUCCCUGUUUUAAGUGCAAUGCCGCCAAAUACAGUGCCUGAUGAGGAGCCUAGGGAUAGUGAGGGAAGGCAUUGCAACCAUACUGAGAAUGACAGUGAGACAAAACGGUAUCCUCAAAGAGAAAGGAACCCUCCCAGAUACUUAGAAGAGGACACCCUCCUCCCUAAGAAUGCCGAUUGUGCCCACAUUAGUGUAGAUUACUGCUACAAAGUUUGUGGAUUACCACAAAAUUACACAGAAGCCAUGGGAUCACCUCAAGCUAGGGCGUGGGAGCAAGCAAUGAAGGAAAAGAUCAGCUCUCUGAAGGAAAAUGAUACUUACGAAUUAUCAACUUUACCAGAAGGUAAAGCUUCAGUAGGGGGGAAAUGGGUGUACACAACCAAACAAGAUCAGAAUGGCAUAGAGUCCUUUAAGGCCAGAUAUGUAGCGAAGGGUUACAGCCAGGUAAAGGGUAUAGAUUAUCAAGAAACUUUCGCCCCGACAGCCAGUAUUACUUCAAUUAGGGUCUUAAUGCAGUUAGCAGUAAAACAUGAUCUUAUUGUCCACCAGAUGGACGUUAAAACUGCAUAUCUGCAUGCCCCCAUUACUCAAGAGUUAUACAUAGACCAGCCACAAGGGUUUGAAGAGGUUUCAGAGAGUGGUGAGAGGUUAGUAUAUAGGCUAAAGAAAUCGCUAUAUGGUCUAAAACAAUCAGGUAGAAAUUGGAACAUAUUGUUACACAAGCAUUUAGCAAAUGACGGUUUUGUCAGAAACCAUGCUGAUCACUGUGUAUAUAAGAAACAAGUUGAUGAUAAAAUUGUUAUCGUCAUUGUUUGGGUUGAUGACCUAAUCAUAGCUUCAGAUAGUAUGCAGUUAAUGGAAGAAUUUAAAGAAAGUAUGAAGACACAAUUUAAGAUGAAAGAUCUAGGUAGAAUCACUUUCUUCCUUGGAAUGGAUUUUAAGCAAAGCAAGGGUGAAAUAAAAAUUAAUCAGAAAAGAUUCAUUCUUAAAAUACUAGAG